CGCCUCUUGCCAAACAACACGUAUAAGAGGUCCAGCCUGCCCAGUGACUAUAUGUUCAACGGCCGCGGUAUUCUGACCGUGCAAAGGUAGCGUAAUCACUUGUCUUUUAAAUAAAGACUGGUAUGAAUGGCACCACGAAGGUUCAACUGUCUCCUGCAUCCAAUCCAUUAAACUGACCUCCCCGUGCAGAGGCGGGGAUAUGUCCAUAAGACGAGAAGACCCUAUGGAGCUUUAAACUCACGGCAACUGCUAAACAACCUAACCCCCACACGGGAAAACAAACAAUUAAGCAACAAUGACCCAAAGUUUUCGGUUGGGGCGACCACGGAGAAAAAAAAAUCCUCCUUGAUGUACGAGGCCUUACCCUCUUAACCAAGAACGACAGUUCUAAGUAACAAAACAUUUGACCACUAUUGAUCCAGUCCAACUGAUCAACGAACCAAGUUACCCUAGGGAUAACAGCGCAAUCCAUUUCGAAAGUUCCUAUCGACAAAUGGGUUUACGAC
This 506-nucleotide ribosomal RNA is filed under the name Xenopus calcaratus (Biafran clawed frog). Its description in RNAcentral is "partial 16S ribosomal RNA". It matches the Rfam family "Bacterial large subunit ribosomal RNA", at positions 1816 to 2524 of the family's 2925-position model. Lineage: Eukaryota; Metazoa; Chordata; Amphibia; Anura; Pipidae. The record is from RNAcentral.